Molecule: long non-coding RNA, 202 nt
Filed under: Ananas comosus (pineapple)
Lineage: Eukaryota; Viridiplantae; Streptophyta; Magnoliopsida; Poales; Bromeliaceae
Description: long non-coding RNA (ACOM_LNC014300)
Source: RNAcentral
AAACUAAAACUAGUACAUUUUAUUAAUAACCUUUAUAAACAACCUCGAACUAUAUAGUGACCGACCGUCCCUAGAAUAAGUGGCAAAGGGCUUGGUGGUCGGUAUCCGAGACCCAAGUUCGAAUCCUAGUUGAUUCACAUUUCCAGCUAAGUUUAUUUUUAAAUGAAAUAAACGAAGCGGGUAACGAAAAAAAAAAAAAAAA